GGUAAGGAUGCUGUAGCACUGUAAGGACUUCUUAGAGGGACAAGCGGCGCUCGCAGCCGCACGAAACAGAGCAAUAACAGGUCUGUGAUGCCCUUAGAUGUCCGGGGCCGCACGCGUGCUACACUGAAGUGGUCAUCGUGCAUACUGUUUCCUGCUCCGAAAGGAGUGGGUAACCGCUUGAACCCAUUUCGUGAUGGGGAUUGGGCAUUGUAAUUAUUGCCCAUGAACGAGGAAUUCCCAGUAAGCGCGAGUCAUAAGCUCGCGUUGAUUACGUCCCUGCCCUUUGUACACACCGCCC
This 298-nucleotide ribosomal RNA is filed under the name Chloropicon mariensis. Its description in RNAcentral is "partial Eukaryotic small subunit ribosomal RNA". It matches the Rfam family "Eukaryotic small subunit ribosomal RNA", at positions 1380 to 1674 of the family's 1831-position model. Lineage: Eukaryota; Viridiplantae; Chlorophyta; Chloropicophyceae; Chloropicales; Chloropicaceae. The record is from RNAcentral.